This 253-nucleotide ribosomal RNA is filed under the name uncultured bacterium. RNAcentral's name for it is "partial 16S ribosomal RNA". It matches the Rfam family "Bacterial small subunit ribosomal RNA", at positions 524 to 776 of the family's 1533-position model. The record is from RNAcentral.
UACAGAGGUCUCAAGCGUUGUUCGGAUUCAUUGGGCGUAAAGGGUGCGUAGGUGGCGCUGUAAGUCGGGUGUGAAAUUUCGGAGCUUAACUCCGAAACUGCAUUCGAUACUGCGGUGCCUGAGGACUGGAGAGGAGACUGGAAUUCAUGGUGUAGCAGUGAAAUGCGUAGAGAUCAUGAGGAAGACCAGUGGCGAAGGCGGGUCUCUGGACAGUUCCUGACACUGAGGCACGAAGGCCAGGGGAGCAAACGGG